GUGCUUGCAUCAGCAGCACAUAUACUAAAAUUAGAAUGAUAUAGAGAUUAGCAUGGCUGUUAUACAAGCAUGACAUGCAAAUUCGUGAAGGAUUCCAUAUUUUU
Small nuclear RNA from Nycticebus coucang (slow loris), 104 nucleotides. NCBI's taxonomy places the organism in Eukaryota, Metazoa, Chordata, Mammalia, Primates, Lorisidae. The record is from RefSeq and is a predicted model, not a curated record.